Molecule: ribosomal RNA, 200 nt
Filed under: uncultured organism
Description: partial small subunit ribosomal RNA
Rfam family: Bacterial small subunit ribosomal RNA
Source: RNAcentral
UGUCAAGUCAGCAUGACCCUUAUGUCCUGGGCGACACACACGCUACAAUGGCCGGUACAAAGGGCAGCCAAGCGGUAACGCGGAGCCAAUCCCAGAAAGCCGGUCUCAGUACGGAUUGGGGGCUGCAACUCGCCCCCAUGAAGGCGGAGUUGCUAGUAACCGCCGGUCAGCAUACGGCGGUGAAUACGUUCCCGGGGCUU